GCAGCGCUGCCGCCGCCGCCGCCGCUGCAGCCGGAGUUGGAGGAGGGAGAAGCCAGGAAGAAAAUGGCGGCCGUGGCUGCAGAGGCGGCAGCGACUGCAGCGUCCCCCGGGGAGGGGGGCGCCGGCGAGGCCGAGCCGGAGAUGGAGCCCAUCCCCGGCAGUGAGGCCGGCACUGACCCCCUCCCGGUCACGGCCACUGAAGCGUCUGUGCCGGAUGGCGAGACCGACGGGCAGCAGUCCGCUCCUCAGGCCGACGAACCGCCGCUCCCGCCGCCACCGCCGCCGCCGGGGGAGCUCGCCCGCAGCCCAGAGGCGGCGGGGCCGGAGCUGGAGGCUGAGGAGAAACUGUCCGUUCGGGUGGCGGAGUCGGCUGCAGCCGCGCCUCAGGGAGGGCCCCAACUUCCACCUUCUCCAGCAUCGCCACCGGAGCAGCCCCCGGCACCCGAGGAGCGCGAGGAGCCGCCGCUGCCUCAGCCCGUAGCCCCGGCGCUCGUGCCGCCGGCGGGCGGGGUUUCCACGGUGUCGCAACUGAUCCCGGGCUCGGAGGUGCGGGUCACGCUGGACCACAUCAUUGAGGACGCGCUCGUCGUGUCGUUCCGCCUCGGGGAGAAGCUCUUCUCCGGGGUCCUCAUGGAUCUGUCCAAAAGGUUUGGGCCCCAUGGUAUCCCUGUGACAGUAUUUCCCAAAAGGGAAUAUAAGGAUAAACCAGAAGCCAUGCAGCUCCAAAGUAAUACAUUCCAAGAAGGGACAGAAGUCAAGUGUGAAGCAAAUGGUGCUGUUCCUGAUGACCCUUCUCCUGUCCCGCAUCCCGAGCUGAGUUUGGCUGAAAGCCUGUGGACUUCCAAACCACCACCUCUCUUCCAUGAAGGAGCACCUUAUCCUCCCCCUUUGUUUAUCAGGGACACAUAUAACCAAUCAAUACCUCAGCCACCUCCUCGGAAAAUUAAGCGACCCAAACGAAAAAUGUACAGGGAAGAACCCACUUCAAUAAUGAAUGCUAUUAAACUACGACCCAGGCAAGUUCUGUGUGAUAAAUGUAAAAACAGUGUUGUUGCUGAAAAAAAGGAAAUUAGAAAAGGUAGUAGUGCAAGUGACUCUUCUAAAUAUGAAGAUAAAAAACGGAGAAAUGAAAGUGUAACUACUGUGAACAAAAAACUGAAAACUGACCAUAAAGUGGAUGGGAAAAACCAAAAUGAAAGCCAGAAAAGAAAUGCUGUGGUUAAGGUUUCAAAUAUUGCUCACAGCAGAGGCAGAGUCGUAAAAGUUUCUGCUCAGGCAAAUACAUCAAAAGCUCAGUUAAGUACUAAAAAAGUUCUCCAGAGUAAGAACAUGGAUCAUGUGAAAGCUCGGGAAGUGUUAAAAAUUGCCAAAGAAAAGGCACAAAAGAAGCAAAAUGAAACCUCUACUUCCAAAAACGCACAUUCAAAAGUCCAUUUCACACGUCGAUAUCAGAAUCCUAGCUCAGGUUCCCUUCCACCCCGGGUUCGUUUAAAACCACAGAGGUACAGGAAUGAAGAAAAUGACUCUUCUCUGAAGACAGGACUUGAGAAAAUGCGGAGUGGCAAGAUGGCACCCAAGCCCCAGUCUCGCUGCACCUCUACCCGCUCAGCAGGUGAGGCCCCUUCAGAAAAUCAGAGUCCCUCAAAAGGCCCUGAAGAGGCCAGCAGUGAGGUUCAGGACACAAAUGAAGUGCAUGUGCCUGGUGAGCAGGAUGAACCACAGACAUUGGGCAAAAAGGGCAGCAAAAACAAUAUCUCUGUUUAUAUGACCCUAAAUCAAAAGAAAUCUGACUCUUCCAGUGCUUCAGUGUGUAGCAUUGAUAGCACAGAUGAUUUGAAAUCUUCCAACUCUGAGUGUAGUUCUUCUGAAAGCUUUGAUUUUCCUCCAGGCAGUAUGCAUGCACCUUCCACCUCCUCCACUUCCUCCUCUUCAAAGGAAGAGAAAAAGCUCAGUAAUUCCUUGAAAAUGAAAGUCUUUUCCAAAAACGUCUCUAAAUGCGUCACACCAGAUGGCAGGACCAUAUGUGUAGGGGACAUUGUUUGGGCCAAGAUAUAUGGCUUCCCUUGGUGGCCAGCCCGUAUUCUUACUAUAACUGUGAGCCGGAAAGAUAACGGCCUUUUAGUCCGACAGGAGGCCCGUAUUUCAUGGUUUGGGUCUCCAACAACAUCUUUCCUUGCUCUUUCACAACUCUCCCCCUUUUUAGAAAACUUCCAGUCACGCUUUAAUAAGAAGAGAAAGGGCCUGUAUCGCAAGGCUAUCACAGAGGCAGCUAAGGCUGCCAAGCAGCUGACCCCCGAAGUGCGGGCUUUGUUGACACAGUUUGAAACGUGAACAUGGACAGUAAGCACAAAGACAUUAGCAGGCUGCUGGUUUCAUGGACCUGUACCACAAUGACACAGAGAACACCAGAGCAUCAGGACUGAAUGAAAUUGGAGUUUUUAAAGCUGCACUAAGAAGUAAAUGUUAAGGCAGUGGUUAAAAACAAGUCUAUAAAGGGGCACUUGCAAAUUGUCCUAUCUUAAACCGAAGAAAAGGUAUUAGGGAAUAUUUUUAAAAAAAUAAACUAUUGCAAUAAAUCAUGCAUGAGAUGAGGAGAAAAAUGAUGUGAAUUACACACACAAGAACUCACUUGAAUUUUAUGUAUGAAGAAACACUGACAGUAAAUUCUUUUGAAUGUGAAGUUCUUAUCAGUACAGUUUGGACAGGCCUAAAAGACAUGGGAUGAUGCAGAAAUGCUGAAUUAUUUUUCAUACUUAAACUUUGUGCUUUCUCCAAGGUUUAGGUUAAUCAGUUCAGAUACAAGCAAAGGUAUUUCUAAAAUGGCUCUUCUAUGAAACAGCAAUAGUCACAUAUGCCAAGGCCAAUGUUUCCUUCAGGGUGCCAGUAGAAACAACAGAAAAUAACAUUCUGCUGAAAGGAUGGCAAAGUGCCCCACCCCACCCCACAAACAAAAUUUGGAUCUUUUCCUUCUUUAAUAAAGCAGGGCUGUAUUAUCUUGAAUAUAUGUUUGCUUGUUAGAACAUAUUAAGAUAUAUUUAUUUGCCACUAGUAUUUAACAUUUUGUGCACAUUUUCAUAAUUACAUUCUUACCUUUCAAAUUUUGACUCAAAGAGGAUAGGCUAGUGUUGAUCUUGGAGUGCAAAUGUAUACUCCAAGAGCUAGUUCUUAAUUCUGCUGGGUUGGAAAGCCUUUUAUUAUUGUCUGUAUCCUUACUGGUUUUAUCUAGUUCAAAAAAGGUGACAGCGUCUAAAUUUUGAUGUGAACCUCUCUCCAGAAAGCCCCUCCUAAGUGCAAGAAAUUCUAACAGGUGUCAGUAGGACUUGGCCCUGGGGGACAAGUGGCAGGAACAGGAUUCUUUAAAACAGUGUCAAACUUUUCAUGCAUGGAGCAUGAAUUCUUACUAAUAGAGACUGUAAUUUUUUUCUUGUCUUUGGUAAAUAUUAUAAAAAACCUUAAUUUUUCUUUUUUAAUGAAUGGAGAAAACAUGAGAAAACCAGAUGGACCUGUUAGUACUACAUUUUUAAGGCAUUUUAUAUUUGAUGGUGCCGUACUUUUAAUAAUAAUAAAACUGAAGUUUUUUAGUGGCAAUACCGAUUUAUUUUUUAAACCAGAAAGAUAAUCCAUAUUGAUUACUUAUUACAAAAAAGGGAAAAUAUGCCAAAAAAUAAAAACCCUUAAAAUUCAUAUGAAGCAACAUAACAGGUAACUGAGCACUUGGCUCAAGUAGUCAGACUUUCCAUAAUGUUACUGUGUAAGUUUGGAAUUACCUAAUAACCCCAGACUCAGGAUUACCAAAGGGUUCUGGGUGAGUUUGAAAACAUUUAAUACACCUAUGAUUUGUUUUACAACUUGAAGAGGCAGGCAGUCUUGUGUCUAAUGAGCUUAAUGCAAAUUCUAAUUAUACUGCAAAUAAUUUGAAGUUUUUAUUGCAUUCUACAAUUGUCUGUUUGGAAAAUUACAUAUUAUGAAGUCAUUAUAUAUUUUAUCAAGUCAGAAAAAAAUCAGCUCAGGAACUGUAGCAGCAGGGAGUUCUAAAGAUGACAUGAACUAUACUAUAGGGGUGCCCUACUCUAUAUGGCCUAGGGCUUUGGUUUGGGUCAGUCUUGUUCUUUCAGAUACAUAACACCAGCAGUACCUUUCAGGCUCACUUCAGGAACCAGAUAACUCCCAAACCAUGGUGGAAUUAUACAUGAAUUGUAUAAUCAAGAUUUUUAAUUAAGCUUUAGAAUUCUUUAUUUGUGUAGAGUAAUGGAAAUGACCAAGAAGUAAUAAUAUAAAGCAAAAUAAUUGGGAGAGAUCAGGUUAUAAGUAUAUAAAUUUUUUUUCCUCUCAUGGCAUAUUCUCAAAGGUGUUCUGUUGCAAACCAGAUUUUCAUUUUUUAAAAAAUGAAACUUGGUGGUAUUUAAAAUCUAGACCUACCAUGUUGCUAUUUCACUUUCAUUGCUUUAGUUGCUUAAUAUUUAAGCUUUGCUUCAUGCUACCUUUUGUCUGUACUUCAAUCUUCAUAAGCCUAUUUUGUUUUGUAGACUUGAAUGAUAAAAAUUGUUUCUCAUCUUAAGUAUGCUCAGAGUUUUAAAUGUUAAAGAAUGUUGUGUAACCUUUAUCCAAUAAAGUCUUUGAUUUUUUAAAAAUUUAGUUAUUUAAAAACUAUGUUUACUUUUUAGGAGUUAGUUUUUAAAAUUUUUUUUUUUUUUUUUUUUGCUAUUAAAAUUCAAUCACUGGCUGUACUUUAGGGAGCUGUUUUGAGUAGCAGUGCUUCCUAAGGAGAACAACCUGCAGGAGAUUUUAUGGGACCUCUUUAUGACCAAAGAUAGAGAAAGGGUGAACAGUUUAAUUAGGACCCUGUGCACAAACAUAACUGCUUUUUGACAGAAACAACCUACCCUUCAGCGUUGGAUGUAAUUACAUGCCUGCUGCUGGGUUUGUCUUGUUUUCCUUUGUUUUAAUUUUAAGGAAUCCUGCCCUUAUGGACAGAUGGUCGCUUCUUGAACAGCCCAGCACAUUCAGUGAGAGGUCGAGGGUUUGGCCUAGGAAUCAGAAACACUUGGUUAUCAGGAGAAAUGAGCCUUUUCAAACCUACAGACAGUUCACAGGACUGGCCCAGCAACUUAGGUCAAUGUACUUUCUUUUCUGUUUCAGAAAGGCAAUCCUUUGGCUGCCUGUUAUUCCAGAGUACAUGAAGGCUUUAAUCUCAAACAUUCUCCCAUUUCAGUUUAUCUAAAUGAGUAUGAAAAAGAGACCACAGGAAUCUGGCUCUGCUAAUAUCUUUUUUCUCUCAAACGUCUCACUAAUGAAAAUGGAACAGAGAGAACCAGGGAAGAUUAACAACCCAUGUGCUCAUUAUCUGAGAGGGCCUACAGGAGACUCACACUGAUCCUGGUCAUGUAUAUCAGUAUAUUUAUAGACAUGACUCCUACAGGAUGCAGGGAAUGAGUGAUGCAACCCACAGAUGCAACUGAAAAUCUUACUGAUGCUGGCCUUCACAUAAGAAAGCGUCUGCUUCCAGUGGAGGUGAGAAUGGGGGUAGACGAAAAGAGAAAUCCCUAAUCAUCAGAGGCACAGGCUCCUUCCCACUUCCUAGCAGCUUUUCUCACUCUGAGACCUCCCAUCUUAGAGUAAAGCCCAGGGGACACAGUGGCUGCACUCUAAAAUCCAUCAGCAUGUUCCUGCAGAGGCCACCCUUCCCACCUGCGGCUUCCAGCCAGCGCCUGAGCAUGCGAGGGGCAGGCCAGGGACUCGUCUGAGGGGCAGCGCUGGCUCCCCAGUGGCUUUGUUGAAACUUUCUCAACACCACACUCCAGUGGAAAACUCCCCCUCCCCCGCUCCUCCUCCUCCACAGGGGUCUGCCAGCUCUGCCAACAUCCUCCAGCUCCCAGCCCCAUAUUCCCUUACAGGUGUUUCCCCCAAUAAAUCUCUUGUACUUUUAAUCCUAUCUUGGCAUCUGUUUUUUGGAUGAUCCAGACUAACACAUAGAUAAUUAUUCUUUUUCCUUCAAUUCCAGUAUCUCUGCCUUUAUAACAUUCCACAUUAAUUUCACCAACCAUCACUUACAGGAAAAAAAAAAAGAAAAGAAAAUGCAAAAUUCUGCUUUCUAAACAAGACUACAUAUAUAUAAUACCUGGCAGGUAGCAGGUAUGUAAUAAAAGACACACAAAUAGUCUCUGCAUUAGAGAAGACCUAAGGUCACCUGAUACAGAUUAAUUCAACCAACAUGUACUCAUUACAUGUGUGUGGCACCUUGCUGUGUGUAGCAGAGAUGCAGAGAUACAUGACAUGGUCUAUACACCAAAACAAGUUUAGAAUUUGACAA
This is an RNA transcript of Cercocebus atys (sooty mangabey), 6310 nucleotides long. It is a transcript of the gene named PWWP domain containing 2A, with no coding region annotated. The record is from RefSeq and is a predicted model, not a curated record. The transcript is spliced from 5 exons. NCBI's taxonomy places the organism in Eukaryota, Metazoa, Chordata, Mammalia, Primates, Cercopithecidae.